RNAcentral lists this ribosomal RNA (503 nucleotides) under uncultured bacterium. RNAcentral's name for it is "partial 16S ribosomal RNA". It matches the Rfam family "Bacterial small subunit ribosomal RNA", at positions 30 to 523 of the family's 1533-position model. The record is from RNAcentral.
AUUGAACGCUGGCGGCAGGCUUAACACAUGCAAGUCGAGCGGAGUGAUGGUGCUUGCACUAUCACUUAGCGGCGGACGGGUGAGUAAUGCUUAGGAAUCUGCCUAUUAGUGGGGGACAACAUCUCGAAAGGGAUGCUAAUACCGCAUACGUCCUACGGGAGAAAGCAGGGGAUCACUUGUGACCUUGCGCUAAUGGACGAGCCUAAGUCGGAUUAGCUAGCUGGUGGGGUAAAGGCCUACCAAGGCGACGAUCUGUAGCGGGUCUGAGAGGAUGAUCCGCCACACUGGGACUGAGACACGGCCCAGACUCCUACGGGAGGCAGCAGUGGGGAAUAUUGGACAAUGGGGGGAACCCUGAUCCAGCCAUGCCGCGUGUGUGAAGAAGGCCUUAUGGUUGUAAAGCACUUUAAGCGAGGAGGAGGCUCUUUUGGUUAAUACCCAAGAUGAGUGGACGUUACUCGCAGAAUAAGCACCGGCUAACUCUGUGCCAGCCGCCGCGGUAA